ACUGUACAGCAGCUUCACAAGUUAAUAGAAUGAGUAACAUACAUUGAGUGGUAACAUACAGAAUAAAGAUUUAGAUGUCUAGACCAACAGUCCAGUGUUUGCAUGUGUGUGUGUGAGCCUAUAGCCAACUAGUUUAUCAGCCUCAUCAAGAAUAAGCAAUCGAAUGGAAGAAGUACACAAAAGUUUGCUGUCAAUUAGAUGUUUCACCCGUCCUAAAGAAUAAUUGAAAAACUGAUUUUACAAAUGUAUCCUACAAGUUAAAGAAGAAACACUAUCUUGUACCUUACUUGAUGAUUUUAAAUGUAUUUUUUUGUAUGAUUGCUUAGGUAUAAUACUUUGCUUGGCACUGAUAUUCCAAAUUAUAAUAUAUAUUUCUGCCCAAAGCUAUACGUAUUCAUUCCCAAAUGAUAUGCAAUUGAUCAAUAUUUAACUGCUCCACCUACCUGGUGUACCAAUAGCAAUUUGACAAAGUUUCAA
Xenia sp. Carnegie-2017 is the source of this 477-nucleotide long non-coding RNA. RefSeq lists it as uncharacterized. The transcript has 2 exons. Lineage: Eukaryota; Metazoa; Cnidaria; Anthozoa; Malacalcyonacea; Xeniidae. The record is from RefSeq and is a predicted model, not a curated record.